GGGGUGUGCUCAGAGCAGGCGGCCUGAAGAAUGGCUCCUCUGUUUACAACACACCCAACAGGAAGCUGGGGCCAUUGUGAUGAGGGGCACAAACUUGUGGCCUCCCUACAGACAAAUGCCCUACAUGU
Cercocebus atys (sooty mangabey) is the source of this 128-nucleotide small nucleolar RNA. Lineage: Eukaryota; Metazoa; Chordata; Mammalia; Primates; Cercopithecidae. The record is from Ensembl.